CUGGGACUACCCGGAGCUCAAGGCUAGGGAUGCCCUGGUGACCUGAAGGAAGGAAAAGGUUCAGAUCAGAGUUUCGACUCUCAGUGUCCAUCCACUCUUUCAGUCCUGGGAAGGGAGACCCUGUCCCAGCUUGAUCUCACCUCUACUGAGGAAUCAUGGGGCCAAAACCGACAAUUUCCAGAAUCCCCGGGCUCUGGUCCUCACUGGGGUCACCCCGUGGCCUGUGACACCAGAUUGUUUUCUGCCCACAGCUCAUAGAUCGAGCGUACAAGGGAAUGCCCAUGAACAUCCGGGGCCCGAUGUGGUCAGUCCUCCUGAACAUUGAGGAAAUGAAGUUGAAAAACCCCGGAAGAUACCAGAUCAUGAAGGAGAAGGGCAAGAGGUCAUCUGAGCACAUCCAGCGCAUCGACCGGGACAUAAGCGGGACAUUAAGGAAGCAUAUGUUCUUCAGGGAUCGAUACGGAACCAAGCAGCGGGAACUACUCCACAUCCUCCUGGCAUAUGAGGAGUAUAACCCGAGGAAGCCUCUCCUUCAGAGGAAGCCUCUCCAGUCACCUCUGCCCUCUCCAAUGACAUGAGUCCU
RNAcentral lists this long non-coding RNA (583 nucleotides) under Homo sapiens (human). RNAcentral's name for it is "non-protein coding lnc-CCL3L1-2:3". The record is from RNAcentral. Lineage: Eukaryota; Metazoa; Chordata; Mammalia; Primates; Hominidae.